Non-coding RNA from Glaciecola punicea, 120 nucleotides. The record is from Rfam. Lineage: Bacteria; Pseudomonadati; Pseudomonadota; Gammaproteobacteria; Alteromonadales; Alteromonadaceae.
GAGGGCGGGCCCCUCGAACACGCCGAUUAGGCGGUGUGUUCAAACCACCCUGAGCUGCAUUUGUAAAGAGCGUUUGUGACCCGCUUUAGUGCGAGACCGAAAUAAAAGACGUUUUUAGGG